Molecule: long non-coding RNA, 248 nt
Filed under: Hordeum vulgare
Lineage: Eukaryota; Viridiplantae; Streptophyta; Magnoliopsida; Poales; Poaceae
Description: long non-coding RNA (HVUL_LNC001045)
Source: RNAcentral
UCUCUGUAAUGGAGCAAAAACAAUCCAUCUCGUAGCUAUCAUUUUGUAAAGGAUGUCUUGUGUAACGGAGCUAUCAUUCUGUAAUGGCUAAAUGUUUCUUUUUAUUUACUUAUGUUUAUUAUGGGCAUUAUUAGUGUUAUUUUUGUUUGGUUUUGGUUUAAUAUUUUUAGGGUACAUACAAGUUAUUGUAACUUGAUAGAUUGAUGAGAAAUGUAACCUGAUUGAUAUUGUUUUGACAAGGUAAUAUG